GACGCACUCUCAGAGUUUGAUCCUGGCUCAGGAUGAACGCUGACAGAAUGCUUAACACAUGCAAGUCGACUCGAGUCUUCGGACUUGGGUGGCGCACGGGUGAGUAACGCGUAAAGAACUUGCCUCUUAGACCGGGACAACAUCUGGAAACGGAUGCUAAUACCGGAUAUUAUGGUUUUUUCGCAUGGAGGAAUCAUGAAAGCUAGAUGCGCUAAGAGAUAGGCCUGCGUUCCAUUAGCUAGUUGGUAAGGUAACGGCUUACCAAGGCAACGAUGGAUAGGGGGACUGAGAGGUUGACCCCCCACAUUGACACUGAGAUACGGGUCAA
Molecule: ribosomal RNA, 328 nt
Filed under: uncultured bacterium
Lineage: Bacteria
Description: bacterial SSU rRNA
Rfam family: Bacterial small subunit ribosomal RNA
Source: RNAcentral